RNAcentral lists this ribosomal RNA (465 nucleotides) under Vreelandella stevensii. RNAcentral's name for it is "partial 16S ribosomal RNA". It matches the Rfam family "Bacterial small subunit ribosomal RNA", at positions 338 to 795 of the family's 1533-position model. The record is from RNAcentral. Lineage: Bacteria; Pseudomonadati; Pseudomonadota; Gammaproteobacteria; Oceanospirillales; Halomonadaceae.
CCUACGGGGGGCUGCAGUGGGGAAUAUUGGACAAUGGGGGCAACCCUGAUCCAGCCAUGCCGCGUGUGUGAAGAAGGCCCUCGGGUUGUAAAGCACUUUCAGUGAGGAAGAACGCCUGGUGGUUAAUACCCAUCAGGAAAGACAUCACUCACAGAAGAAGCACCGGCUAACUCCGUGCCAGCAGCCGCGGUAAUACGGAGGGUGCGAGCGUUAAUCGGAAUUACUGGGCGUAAAGGGCGCGUAGGCGGCUUGAUAAGCCGGUUGUGAAAGCCCCGGGCUCAACCUGGGAACGGCAUCCGGAACUGUCAAGCUAGAGUGCAGGAGAGGAAGGUAGAAUUCCCGGUGUAGCGGUGAAAUGCGUAGAGAUCGGGAGGAAUACCAGUGGCGAAGGCGGCCUUCUGGACUGACACUGACACUGAGGUGCGAAAGCGUGGGUAGCAAACAGGAUUAGAUACCCCGGUAGUC